AAACCCGGGCACUUGGGGGUGCGUCUUCAAAUUUGCAAUUUGCUGUGUUAUACACCUCCUGGGCUG
This 66-nucleotide transfer RNA is filed under the name Phelsuma abbotti. Its description in RNAcentral is "tRNA-Cys". Lineage: Eukaryota; Metazoa; Chordata; Lepidosauria; Squamata; Gekkonidae. The record is from RNAcentral.